GAUGAAGAACGCAGCAAAAUGUGAUACUUGGUGUGAAUUGCAGAAUCCCGUGAACCAUCGAGUUUUUGAACGCAAGUUGCGCCCGAAGCCUUUUGGCCGAGGGCACGUCUGCCUGGGCGUCACGCAUCGCGUCGCCCCCCACAAUUCUCCGUAAAAGGAACAUGUGUUUUGGGGGCGGAUAUUGGUCUCCCGUGCUCAUGGCGUGGUUGGCCGAAAUAGGAGUCCUUUCGAUGGACGCACGAACUAGUGGUGGUCGUAAAAACCCUCGUCUUUUGUUUCGUGCUGUUGCUCGCAAGGUAAACUCUUUAAAAACCCCAAUGUGUCGUCUCUUGACGACGCUUCGACCGCGACCCCAGGUCAGGCGGGACUACCCGCUGAGUUUAAGCAUAUCAAUAAGCGGAGGA
Molecule: unclassified non-coding RNA, 404 nt
Filed under: soil metagenome
Description: partial contains 5.8S ribosomal RNA, internal transcribed spacer 2, and large subunit ribosomal RNA
Rfam family: 5.8S ribosomal RNA (bases 1-122)
Source: RNAcentral